This 460-nucleotide ribosomal RNA is filed under the name uncultured bacterium. RNAcentral describes it as "partial 16S ribosomal RNA". It matches the Rfam family "Bacterial small subunit ribosomal RNA", at positions 338 to 795 of the family's 1533-position model. The record is from RNAcentral.
CCUACGGGAGGCAGCAGUGAGGAAUAUUGGUCAAUGGACGAGAGUCUGAACCAGCCAAGUAGCGUGAAGGAUGACUGCCCUGUGGGUUGUAAACUUCUUUUAUAUGGGAAUAAAAUGUUCCACGUGUGGGAUUUUGUAUGUACCAUAUGAAUAAGGAUCGGCUAACUCCGUGCCAGCAGCCGCGGUAAUACGGAGGAUCCGAGCGUUAUCCGGAUUUAUUGGGUUUAAAGGGAGCGUAGGUGGAUUGUUAAGGCAGUUGUGAAAGUUUGCGGCUCAACCGUAACAUUGCAGUUGAAACUGGCAGUCUUGAGUACAGUAGAGGUGGGCGGAAUUCGUGGUGUAGCGGUGAAAUGCUUAGAUAUCACGAAGAACUCCGAUUGCGAAGGCAGUUCACUGGACUGCAACUGACACUGAGGCUCGAAAGUGUGGGUAUCAAACAGGAUUAGAUACCCCAGUAGUC